This is a non-coding RNA of Myodes glareolus (Bank vole), 2432 nucleotides long. The record is from RefSeq and is a predicted model, not a curated record. NCBI's taxonomy places the organism in Eukaryota, Metazoa, Chordata, Mammalia, Rodentia, Cricetidae.
AGCUUUGCACUAUUUUAGAAUUUUCUACUUAUAUCUCAAUUAAAUAAGACAGCUGUACCCAUUAGAUCUGAUCGGACUAACAAAAGAUGAGAAAUCAGGAGUUAGUCCUACAACCUAGGGAAGAAUCCUCAAUUUUUCUUCAGGCCAUAACAUACAUGACAGAAUAAAAGCCGAACGGUGAAGCGCUGCUGGGGAGAGAAUUCUGAGCCUUGGAAAUACUAAGCAAGUACUGUACCAGUGAACUAUUGUCCUGAACCCGUAAGCUGAGAAGAAAGACUAGAAGUCAGGUGUAGUGGUACAUGCCUUUAAUCCCAGCACUUGGAAGACAGAGGCAGAUCUCUGAGUUUGAGGCCAGCCUGGUCUACAGGGAUUCCAGUAUGCAAACAAGAGGAGUGCGGGAAAGGAGAAGAAAUCUUGCAGCACGCUCAUGAGCCAUUUUACAACGCCACCCAGACACUGCCAUGGUCAGAGAACCUUCAGUACCAUGCUCCACACAUAUUCUUAAAAGACCAAAGACACAUUUCAAAAUAUUUUUCAGCUUUAAAAAAAUAAAAACAGAUUUAAACUAGGGACUAAGAUAAAGGCCUCUCUAGCCCUCUGAUAGCUAAGAAGGGGCCACGCACACUCCUGCCCAGGCAUCAGUGUUCACCGGGAUAGUGCCUGCACAGCUCAACUAUUGUAACUAACCUGAGUAUCUGUCAAUGGGGUGAAGGGCAAAGGGCUGUGCUGUUUACAGGAAAAUAGAUGCAACUGGAAAUAAUCACAUUAGGUCAAUUAAGGCAGUCUCAAAGACAGACAGCCUACGUUUUCUUCCUUUUGUGGCUCCUAGACUUUAGAGAUCUGUAAAAUCGUGUAUGCAUAUAUGAUAUGAAAGCCCAAGAAAAGCUAUUGAGAGAGAUGGAGAGGACAGGAGGGGGAGGAAGAAAUGAGGACAAGAGAAUAAGCUCAACAUACAUUUUACACAAAAACUUAAAAUUGUUUAAAUGCACAGGUAUUUCCACCAACUCAUUCCCAGUGUUGGGUAGGAAAAUUAUUCAAUUUGUGUUGCCUUUUCUCAUUCUUUCAAAACUGACAGCUCUUUCUAGAUCCUGGAGAUAAAUGUUAACAAUUACCCAGCAUCCAUCAGCACCUGCUUUCCUCAGGCAUACAUUUCAAUUUACAAAAUAUAUGCUUUUUAGGCAUGUCAUCCCCAGGCAAUUAGCUGCCCCAACUGACAGGCAUGUGAAAUACAAAAGGCUCAUUUGGAGAGCUCUAACCUGAGGUCAUAGGCACAGAACAGAUGACCUAAAUUCUUACAGGGGCUGGAGGUGAACAACUUUCUUGAAAAUAGCUUUGUGUGUCUGUCCUACCCUCCCCCCUUACUUCUCCUUGUCACAGCAGUCACUGAAGACUUUGUGCCUUAUCCACCAUGGAGCAACACUUUGAAGCUGUUAAAAGUGAUCUUUGAACAUUAUCAAGAUUACAUAGAAACUUUCUAAGUAUUUGUUAUAACAUUAUAAAAGCAGCAAAACUUAAAAUUCAUUAUUUCUACAACUAUGUAAAAACGGGAGUUAUGCAAAAUAACAUGCACUGCAGUAGAGUAGUUUACAUCAGGACAUGUGUCUGUAUGGCAGGAUUCUCAAAAUCAGGAGUUGAAAUUGGUGCUUACUCUUACAUUACUCUUGCAUUAAGUAAUCUCAAGGAAAAUAUUUCAUUCACUGUAACUGAAACAGCACUCAGUAUGACUAGACUUCAAAUUCUGGAUUAGAGCAGCUCUAGGUGGCCACCCCUGCAAUGAUUUCAACAUCUGUUGUUUAUCUGGGGGAAUAAAGAGGCACACCAAACUAGCUCAUUCGUUCUGAGUGAAAAGAAGAUUGCUAUGUGGGGAAUUGUUAGUUCUUUGUUAGUGUUUUUGUUAUUAUCAAGAUUCCUCAGGAAAGUGAGCUGGCCAGAAGCAUAGUUAAUGAAAGUGAAGCAGGAAAGAAAUAGAAUUAAUUACGCCAGUUCGCCUUCAGCAGUUACUCUAGCACUGAGAAGUAAGAGGUAGUAGCUAUUUCCUGGGAAGUAUGCCAGCUGGGGGGCUACAAUCUCUAGCUAUCAAACUACCCAAAUUUGUUCCCCACUCCCUACCCCUAUACUUCCAGUUUAUUUGCUACCAUCUGUAAGAGAAUGUGUAAAAACAAAAGAAAAGAUAAACACCAACUUCCAUUUACAUUGUAUGUUUCGUGAUAUCUACACAGACCCAGGCAAGCAGUCACCGUAUGCAGAUGUCAUCUGUCCACUCUGUCACGAUUUCUAAUCAGCUCAGAUAAUUCCAAGUUUGCUGUACUAUAAUUUAUCCAAUUAAUCUAAUCAGCUAUGAAACAGAUGAGGGCAACAAUGCAAUCUUUGAUAAAGUGAGUUCAUUGAGCUUUAAAAACUGCUCAGCUGAGGACAUAGUUAACUUCUACACA